UACGUAGGCAGCGAGCGUUGUUCGGAGUUACUGGGCGUAAAGGGUGUGUAGGCGGUUGUUUAAGUUUGGUGUGAAAUCUCCCGGCUCAACUGGGAGGGUGCGCCGAAUACUGAAUGACUAGAGUGCGGGAGAGGAAAGUGGAAUUCCUGGUGUAGCGGUGAAAUGCGUAGAUAUCCGGAGGAACACCGAUGGCGAAGGCAAUCCCCUGGGCCUGCACUGACGCUCAUGCACGAAAGCGUGGGGAGCAAACAGG
This 253-nucleotide ribosomal RNA is filed under the name uncultured prokaryote. RNAcentral's name for it is "partial 16S ribosomal RNA". It matches the Rfam family "Bacterial small subunit ribosomal RNA", at positions 524 to 776 of the family's 1533-position model. The record is from RNAcentral.